CUCCAAUAGCCUCAAUUCCAAAUUCAAUAGAUAAUAUCAUUGUCUAGGUGCGUCAGAGUUUGCUAAGGAUCUCAAGGAUUUCGGGUAGUGCUCACACCAAGACUUUAUAAACAGAACUGAAUAAGUGCACAGUGGAAGAGCCAACUCCAGUGCAUCAGAGUUCAGAGGGAUCUCAUAGGAAUCCCAUGGUAGCCACACACUGGAGGGGCAGAACUUAAGGACCUAAGAGUAGAGUGGGAGUGCUUGACAUGGUUUUAAAAAGGUUUUAACAGAAAGCAAUAUUUGAAAAAUCUCAAUUGAAGUUGUUUUAUAAAAAGAGGAGAAUUGUACAGUAAAAUUGUUUUAACAAGAGUUGUGUAACAACAUAUCAAACGUAAAGUCAAAAAC
This 387-nucleotide long non-coding RNA is filed under the name Nicotiana benthamiana. Its description in RNAcentral is "long non-coding RNA (NBEN_LNC012896)". Lineage: Eukaryota; Viridiplantae; Streptophyta; Magnoliopsida; Solanales; Solanaceae. The record is from RNAcentral.